RNAcentral lists this ribosomal RNA (771 nucleotides) under Streptomyces sp. RNAcentral describes it as "bacterial SSU rRNA". It matches the Rfam family "Bacterial small subunit ribosomal RNA", at positions 65 to 848 of the family's 1533-position model. Lineage: Bacteria; Bacillati; Actinomycetota; Actinomycetes; Kitasatosporales; Streptomycetaceae. The record is from RNAcentral.
AACGAUGAACCUCCUUCGGGAGGGGAUUAGUGGCGAACGGGUGAGUAACACGUGGGCAAUCUGCCCUUCACUCUGGGACAAGCCCUGGAAACGGGGUCUAAUACCGGAUACGACCUCCGACCGCAUGGUCUGGUGGUGGAAAGCUCCGGCGGUGAAGGAUGAGCCCGCGGCCUAUCAGCUUGUUGGUGGGGUGAUGGCCUACCAAGGCGACGACGGGUAGCCGGCCUGAGAGGGCGACCGGCCACACUGGGACUGAGACACGGCCCAGACUCCUACGGGAGGCAGCAGUGGGGAAUAUUGCACAAUGGGCGAAAGCCUGAUGCAGCGACGCCGCGUGAGGGAUGACGGCCUUCGGGUUGUAAACCUCUUUCAGCAGGGAAGAAGCGAGAGUGACGGUACCUGCAGAAGAAGCGCCGGCUAACUACGUGCCAGCAGCCGCGGUAAUACGUAGGGCGCAAGCGUUGUCCGGAAUUAUUGGGCGUAAAGAGCUCGUAGGCGGCUUGUCACGUCGGAUGUGAAAGCCCGGGGCUUAACCCCGGGUCUGCAUUCGAUACGGGCAGGCUAGAGUUCGGUAGGGGAGAUCGGAAUUCCUGGUGUAGCGGUGAAAUGCGCAGAUAUCAGGAGGAACACCGGUGGCGAAGGCGGAUCUCUGGGCCGAUACUGACGCUGAGGAGCGAAAGCGUGGGGAGCGAACAGGAUUAGAUACCCUGGUAGUCCACGCCGUAAACGUUGGGAACUAGGUGUGGGCGACAUUCCACGUCGUCCGUGCCG